GGAAUUCACUAGGGAUUCGGGCCUACACAUGCAAGUCGAACGGCAGCAUGGAAGAGCUUGCUCUUCUGAUGGCGAGUGGCGAACGGGUGAGUAAAGCAUCGGAACGUACCGUGUAAUGGGGGAUAACGUAGCGAAAGUUACGCUAAUACCGCAUACGACCUGAGGGUGAAAGCAGGGGAUCGCAAGACCUUGCGUUAUACGAGCGGCCGAUGUCAGAUUAGCUAGUUGGUAGGGUAAAGGCCUACCAAGGCGACGAUCUGUAGCGGGUCUGAGAGGAUGAUCCGCCACACUGGGACUGAGACACGGCCCAGACUCCUACGGGAGGCAGCAGUG
Molecule: ribosomal RNA, 333 nt
Filed under: uncultured bacterium
Lineage: Bacteria
Description: bacterial SSU rRNA
Rfam family: Bacterial small subunit ribosomal RNA
Source: RNAcentral